This 496-nucleotide ribosomal RNA is filed under the name uncultured bacterium. RNAcentral's name for it is "partial 16S ribosomal RNA". It matches the Rfam family "Bacterial small subunit ribosomal RNA", at positions 28 to 506 of the family's 1533-position model. The record is from RNAcentral.
GAUGAACGCUGGCGGCGUGCCUAAUACAUGCAAGUCGAGCGAACAGACGAGGAGCUUGCUCCUCUGACGUUAGCGGCGGACGGGUGAGUAACACGUGGAUAACCUGCCUAUAAGACUGGGAUAACUUCGGGAAACCGGAGCUAAUACCGGAUAAUAUAUUGAACCGCAUGGUUCAAUAGUGAAAGACGGUUUUGCUGUCACUUAUAGAUGGAUCCGCGCCGCAUUAGCUAGUUGGUAAGGUAACGGCUUACCAAGGCAACGAUGCGUAGCCGACCUGAGAGGGUGAUCGGCCACACUGGAACUGAGACACGGUCCAGACUCCUACGGGAGGCAGCAGUAGGGAAUCUUCCGCAAUGGGCGAAAGCUUGACGGAGCAACGCCGCGUGAGUGAUGAAGGUCUUCGGAUCGUAAAACUCUGUUAUUAGGGAAGAACAAAUGUGUAAGUAACUAUGCACGUCUUGACGGUACCUAAUCAGAAAGCCACGGCUAACUACGU